This 125-nucleotide non-coding RNA is filed under the name Sciurus vulgaris (Eurasian red squirrel). Lineage: Eukaryota; Metazoa; Chordata; Mammalia; Rodentia; Sciuridae. The record is from RNAcentral.
GUGUCAUAUGAAAGGAGAGAAGGUUAGCACUCCCCUUGACAAGGAUGGAAGAGGCCCUCAGCCUGACAGCAGGCAUACGGUUAAGGCAUUGCCACCUACUUUGUGAUAUCUAACCAUCAUUUUAA